GAUGAAGAACGCAGCGAAAUGCGAUAAGUAGUGUGAAUUGCAGAAUUCAGUGAAUCAUCGAAUCUUUGAACGCACAUUGCGCCCCUUGGUAUCCCGAGGGGCAUGCCUGUUCGAGCGUCAUUUCACCACUCAAGCCUGGCUUGGUGUUGGGCGACGUCCUCUUUGGGGACGCGCCUCGAAACGCUCGGCGGCGUGGCACCGGCUUUAAGCGUAGCAGAAUCUUUCGCUUUGGAAGUCGGGGCCCCGUCUGCCGGAAGACCUGCUCGCAAGGUUGACCUCGGAUCAGGCAGGGAUACCCGCUGAACUUAAGCAUAUCAAGAAGCGGAGGA
RNAcentral lists this unclassified non-coding RNA (329 nucleotides) under soil metagenome. RNAcentral's name for it is "partial contains 5.8S ribosomal RNA, internal transcribed spacer 2, and large subunit ribosomal RNA". The stretch from base 1 to 120 matches the Rfam family "5.8S ribosomal RNA", at positions 35 to 154 of the family's 154-position model. The record is from RNAcentral.